UGAUAAAAAUCAAAACGGACCCGUUAAACAAGCUAUUAAUUAUUUCACCACAACACAUGUAAUUCGGUAAUUCAACAAAGUUUCAACAAUUUACUAACAAAUACAAUUUUAUAAAAUCUAAAACAAAUCAUAAUAAGUACAAAAUUAUACAUUCAUACUACAAAGUUUGUUUGAGAAAUAACAAUAAAACUUGUACAUACAUUAACAAAAUACAUAUACUAAAAAAACAAUAAAAUUGACAUUUAAAUGUUAAAUUUUUUUUUAAAAAAUUUACUUACAAAAAAUGAUAAAAUCCACACAAAAAAACACGGAUGUUGUGACCACGAAACUUAAAGAAAUAUGACUUGUGUUGAGAAGAGGGGGAUAUUUUUAGGGGGGUUGUUUGCAAUUUGGGAGGGAAGAGUUGGGAUGGGAAAGAAGAAGGCAAAAUAGAGAAGGAGAGGGUCGGUAGAGUGGUGAUAUAUUAACUUUUGCAGAUGAAAUCACUGACGGACUUAUUCUGUCGGUGAUUGCGUCGGUAAUUCUGACGGUGAAUUAGUCACGUCACUAUACGGAGAUCCCGGUUUGAAUCCUUCGGUGAGUCCAUCGGUAAAAUCACCCGCAAAAACUUUCACAUCAUCGAACCGUUUUUUUUUUUCAAAUUCUAUAUAUUCCGUCUGUAAUUCUAUCGGUAUAUACCAACUGAAUUACAAAUGGAAUAUUGGCUAUCAGUAAUUAUCACCAUAAUUUAUUGAUAUAAUUAUUCCGUCGAUAAUUUUGUUGGUUUUAGAUGAAUUUCCGGUAAUGAAAUUUCUACGUUGGCUACUCUUCUACUAGUGAAGUGCCUCCUCGGAGAGACCCAACGUUUCAGUACAGCUGAGAUAAUUCCCCAUAUGUUUUUAUGCCUCAACAAAUUAGUGCGACAAACGUAUAUGACGAAGGCAAUUGUUGUUGUGCAUGCAGUUAUAAAGAAAAGUUCUCGAAAUCCACUGGGACCAAGGCUGGAACUAUCACUUGGCAUCUUCGGGCAUUUUUGUGGGGUAAUCCAUGUCUUCUCUAGUUCUUGUAGCGUUCCAUUUUCUGAUAUUUUCAGUAGAGCCUCAUUCACGCUAGCAAGUAAUGGAGAUCCGCACAAAUUAACCAUGUUAAAAUUUAAUCACUCCUUAAGUUCAUGUUUAAUUCAUAUAUAUAUAUAUAUAUAUAUUUGGACGUGUUAGUAUUUCGAAGCAACUAAGCAUAAGAUUAGGCAUGUGUCUUUUACCAUAACCUACUAAUUUAUUCAACUUAUAUUUAAUGAUUCAUUGAACCUAUCUAAGUGAUCAUCUCUCUCCUGCUAAUUUUGUUCAAAAUCGAAGACUUCAUUGUUAGUUUCCUUUGGUCAAACUCAACACCUUGUAACUUGUGGUCCAACCUACCUACAAAGUCAACAAAAAGCCUCUGGCCCUAAUACAAAUUUUACAAGAACUAAUCCUAUAUAUAUGCAUAUUUUGGUUUGGCCCGUAAGAAUGUAAAUUAGCAAUAGUAAUUUCAGGAAAAUUAUUAAUGAACGGAAAAGGUGAAUAAAUAUGAGCGCGAGAUCUUACAAAUCCAAACCCUCCAAUUUUGUACGUUGGUCCAAUUUGGAUGAAGCUAUUGCAGUAUUUUGCAAGGAAUAUCUUGGCACUGGGAGUUCCAAGAAAGGCAGCAGAAAUUUUCUUGUCCUCGAAGCCUUUAACAUAACUUUCUGCUGACUGAAAAUGCUGCAUGUUUUGGUUCUUGAAUUUUAAAACUUCCGCCAAAUAUCUUUCCAUAUAGGUUCCUGUACCAACCAUUGCAUUGCUAUUUAAUAGUUCUUCAACACUUGGUAUAGUGGGUUCAAGCCUCUGUACAGUUAGCAUGCUUGAGAGGUUGGCUGUGUACGUCUGGAUGAUGAUUAGAGCCACAAACAGCCACACCACCCCUGACAUCCUUGAUAGAUUGCUAUGAAGCUUUGGCCCUAAAUCAAAUUGUUGUCAGCAAGAUAUUGUUAAUUAAUUGCUUGUUAAAGGAUUAGUUAUAUAUUUUCAAAAGUUCAAAUCAAAGAAGGAAACUGAUUGGAACUAAAAACUUUAAUUUACCAUUCAAGGAGAAAAGAGUGUUGAAGGAUAACCAAAUCAUGAUCCCAAUUUGAUUUGGGAUGGAGCCUUGUAGUUCAUCACAAUGCUUUCGCUCUAUCCACCAAACAACAAAACCAUUGUAGACUGUAAUCACUGAGAUUAAAACCCACAUGGUUGCGGUGAAUGGUUUAAUGAAUGACCAUGCUUUACUGCUCGAACGGACCGGGACGAUCAACACCAAUCCUGUUUCAGUAUAUGGAUAGGUGAAUUCUGCAUAUUGGUGUCUGCUUGCAACUAUUUCCACAUCACCAACAACUGCGUCAAAAUUCUGGUGUUGUGGGCAAAAAGUCCAAGUACAACAAAGUAUGAUUAGUCUAAAGUAUUUUUUUUUUUUUUCAGAAUAUGCGUGCAUGCAUGAUCAAUUAAUGAAAAUUUAAUUAAUCAUUUUACUCUAUCAAGCUGCCUCUUACCUUUAGAUGAAGUUGCUCUAAAAGUUCAUUGUAACUUCCAUUGAAGUAUUGGAACUCGUAUUGCGGACAGAAUGGCAUGCUUGCUGUAGUUGCUUUGAAGACCUCGUUUGCAAAACCAGAGAAGUUCGUUCCCAAGCGAUCAUCACUUUCCACUUUCACAUAUUCUUCGUAACCUGACAAGGAAGCCACUCCGAUUCGAAAUAGCUUAGCACUUGUCAGUGCAGUCCAUCCUCUUGGAGUAUACCUAGGCCCCCCUGGCCAAUGCACUUGCUCCAAAUCAAUCAUCGACGCGCUGUUAUAACUAGAAUUUUCAUGGAUGUUCUCCGAGAAUCCCAAUCCAUUGGACCAAUACCCGAGUUCAUUGUAACCCGUUCCUAUUACAUUCACGAUCUCAAAUAUUUCUGCUGCAGCAACAUUCUGGUUUUUGAAUUUAACUUUACCUGAUAAACCAUGAAAGUCUGCGUCCAAAAUGUUUUCCAACAACUCUUUCCCUCCCCUUUUACUUCCGGUCUUAUUUAAUCCAAGAGCUAUUGUCCUCAUAGCAUCAUACGCUUGCACGGCGUAAAUCCCAGGCUCAUUCCUUUCUUCUCGGGGAUAUUUUCUCCUAAAACGUGUACGAAAUCUUUGAUUAAAGUUCACGAAAUGCGGUCCCAUUUUAGGGAAGUAACUCCGGACUCCUAGAAUUCCUUUCAUUGAGGAUAUUACAGAGGCAUUGAUGGAAUGGACAAGGCUUGUAAAGGGAUCUGUUGUGAUCCAUACAUAGUCCCUUUUCAUCAUUUCCAUUUUGUUUGCCAUUUCAAAUAACCGCACAGCCAAUUUGAAGGACAAAUGAACAACAAAGACUCUACAGUACUGCUUGCUUUUGAUAUUUUCAAGCUCUUUGGACAUUGAAUCAGAAGAAUUAAAAGGAGAGAAGGCUACAAAUUGGCUUACUUCUGAAUUAACUUCUCUAAGGGCAUCAUGUAGAUGUGGUAUGACUCCCCUUGCUGAAGAAUCUGUAUCUUCAUAAAUCACAAUGACCUGAUGCCAGUUCCAUGAUUGCACAAUAGCAGCUAUAGCUUUCAUUUGAGCACGCUUAUCAGGUGAAGCUUGAAGUAGAGAAGGCCAUCGUUCAGGUGCCCAUUCUGGAGCCGUGUCAGCAAAAGAAAGAAUUGGAACCUGUGUUUCUCUGGCAAUCUCAGCAACUAAUGACACCUCUUCCCAUGUCUGUGGUCCUAUAAUGGCUUGUACUUGUCGUGUGUCGAUAAGAUCCUUAGCUGUAUAGCAGUAUAGGCAACGCACAGAUGUGAGCUUGGAUUUAUCUUAAUUUAAGGCAAACGAUACUUAUUUCAAAAGCAAAACAUAUAGUUACCUUCAAGAGCUGCAUGGAUGGUAUCCUUUUGAGAGUCAUUUAUAAGCAAAAAUGUUAGAUUUCCGAAGCCAUAGAAAUCCUCCUUUGCAACUUCCAUCGCUACUAUUUCUUCUUUGCCAAUACGGGAACUUGUAUCCACAAUAGCUCCUAUUCCAGUGCUUCCAUUGAAAAUAGCCUGUGUCUUGGUAAUUUGAUCGGCUGCUGUACCGGAUGUCAAGAGCAAAAUUAGAGCGAACAACGAGAAGGCGUGAGGCAAAGUACCCAUUGUAUUCUUAACGAAACAACAAAGUACUAGAGCUGAUUCUCUUUCUCCAUACUUGUUAGCCUAGACCUCAAUUAAUUUAUAUUUUACUUCGUCAACUUUCAACCUUUAGAAUUUUCUCCUUUAUUCAGGGGUUAUAAUCUGGACUAUAUUUCUCAUCCAUUUUCUGUAUCAUUUCAUUAAAUAUUGUGUGCAAGUAUAUCCUACUAUUUUUUGUGGCCGAUUUUUGACACCGUACGAAACAGCAUUUUAAAAAUAGAACUGUUUAUAUAUAUAUAAAGUGAUAAAAAAAAUUUAAAAAAUUAAUUUGAAGUUAUUUUUUGUAAUGCUAAUUACUUAAUAUUUGUUGGUGUUAAUUUGAUAUUGAGUAAUUAGCAUGACAAUUGUUUCAGAUUCUUGGUAUGCUUAGAUUUGAGUCAAUACAAACGUUAGGUUGACUCACGAUUUCAACUUUUUUUUUUUGUUUUAAGUAAAGAAAACUCAAUAAUAGUUAUGCAAUGACCAUUUACACGAAUUUUCUUAUUAGAGCUUCACGCACAUGUAUUAUUCAUUCAUUUACUUAAUAUUUUUACUACAUUUUUCAAGAAUUGAUUAAGUAGUUAAUAUAUAAUUAGAAAAUGAAAGAAAUUACUAUAUUUUGUGAACAGUUUUCAACUUUAAAUUUUUUUAAUAAUUUUCUUAUAAAUAUAGUUAAAAUUUAAUUAAAAAAUUUCUCCAUUUUUACUCCUUUCACCUCUUCCAUAUAUAUACAAGGAAGGAAACCAUCCAAGUUAUUUCUACGAAUAAAAGAGCCAAGAUCCUAUGUCUGAGGGGCCAAUCUACGAUUGCUACUUCUACAUGCAUAUGAGACAACAAGAAGUAUAACUUGUAAUGCCUGCCAUGGAAUCACAUACAUGUCAAAGGUCCAAUGGCGGCUAUGAGAUUUAUUCAUGUACGUAUUUGUAGGUCCAACUUUCUCGAUUCUUAGGCUGUCAAUGGUUUUUUUCUCUUUCUAAAUUAAUUAUCAGAAAAUUAUGCCUUGAACAUUGGGUUAUAGAGGAAGAUGGAAUUAAUUUAUUCAUGAUUUUCGUGGCUCGAUAAUGUGGAAACAUUUUUAUAGCAUAACAUCUUUGUCACGAGUACGAGGUCCGAUACUCAAAUCCGAAAGCACAGUGCAAGUGGGAAGUCCGAUAGGAUGCACGCUCGAUUGUAUUUAACAUGUGUGAGAAGGCCACACAAGGUAAAGACGAGGAUUGUUCUGUGUGGGGCUGCUUGCCAUGCACGCGAGACAGAGUACAUGAUUGAAGUUCAUUUGUCAGCUACGAAAAAGCCAUUCAAGAAUUUCCUCGUAAUGGACAUUUACACUCCAGAUUUCUGUGGAAGCCGAGUUCCUGGAAAUUAAUGCUUCAGCACUUCUACAGUCCUUGGAAAUACGUGUCGGAGUGCAAGACUGGAAACUGCACGCAUCGAGUACUCUUGAUACGCUUCAAGUUCUUCAGAAAAGAGAAUCACGACUCUAGUAUGUAUCCAGUUACGUUUUUCCAAGCUUGACUAUUAAUUAAUGUAAAACAUUUUAAAUUGACUAUCAUUUAAGAAUUUAGUUGUAAGAGUGGUCUGGUGUCAUAUUUUGUUUAUUUUUUAAUAUUUCAUAAUUUAUUGAUUUUCGAAUUAUAUAAAUUUAUCCCUUUUUAAUUAAUCUCAUGAACAAUUUUAAUUACCUCCCAUUGAAGUUGAAAUCAUUUCAAACACCGGAUUGUAUGUUUGUAUAUUAAUCUAAUUAACAUAGCUAUUUGGCAUAAAAUUCUUUUUAUUCAUAUUAUUAAUCUUGUAAUAUUUAAAAUGAAACAAAUGAUAAUGAAUCCCAUAUAUACCCGUGAAAAAUCCUUGAAUUAAAUAGGUGUUUCAUGAUCAUCUAAGACUCAUCUAAGAAUAUGAACUAUUUCCUUCUCAACUCAAAACACAUUUUGUAUUGCACCUCUCAUCCAAAUAUAUGUAUUUGCCUAUUGAUAUAUAUAUUGGUUGAAAUAAUUUUUUUAAUAUAUAAUAAUAGAAAAAAAAAUCAAUAUAGAAUAUGUGGAUAUAAAACAUUUUAUAAUCUCCAUGUAUAUUCAAUUUAAUAUUUUUAAUUUCUGUUGAAUUUUUUAAAAGAAAUAUCAUAUAAUUUCAUUUUUUAUCAAUAGAGAGCUUAAUUGAAUUAAAAAACAAUUUGGACGGAAACAAUAUAUAAUUAAACUACUAUGCUAUCAUAGUUUCUUAAACAAUUUAAGAGAUUUUGAUUAAGAUUCAACUAGUAUUUAUAUAAAAAAAAAUCAUGUAUCCAUGUGUCAUUUCAUUAAAAAGAAUAAUUAUUCACUAUUAGAUUCAUAUUAGUGGUCAACAAUUGAGUAUAACAAGAAUAUAUACAGCUAGUAAUUUAAGAAUAUGCGUGAAUAAAGAGAAUAAAUUAUAUUAGAAUUAAGAUUCUAUAGUCUUUAUUUGUUUUAGACAAUUUAUAUAGAAUUAAAAUUUUAAAUUCAUGUGAAAUUCGACCUUUAUAAAAUCAUAAAUAAAUCAUCUAGUAGCUGGAAAUGGUAGUUAGCUCCAUAUAUAAAACUUAUCCACAAGUUUUAUACAAUUUACAAACUUUCUUUUAUCACUUUCUUGUAAUUUAUUUUUUAUUGUUUUUUUUAUUUAAUUUUCUUUAUUUACUUAGCAUUUUUACCUAUCUUUCUUUCUCUUAACCUAUUAAAGUUAAGUGCAAAAUUUUGACUCUUUGCUUGAUUUGCGAAUCUGCAAGUUGGCUUAACUCGGGAUUAAAUUUUUAAUUAUAGGUUUUUUUUGGUUGGGAGGAAGAAAUGAAUGACAGGUAACAUUAAUUAAAUAACCAAUGUCAAGAAAUGAUUAAUUGACAUGUUAGACUAAUUUGUUAGACUAAAAACAGAGUAGUUACGAUGUCAAAAAAUUAAAUGAGAAAAACACGGUUAUAGUGAUUGAUGAUCAGUGAGUCAACCUUAAACACAGUGCCCAAUUAAAUGAGAAAAACACGGUAAAAUGCCAACGGACUUUAUUUAUCUAUGAAGGCGUCAAUAAUUGUGGUAUUUUUAUUAAAUAUUUCUUAACUCUCGGUAAAAUGCCGACGAAGACAUUUCGUCGGUAACUCCGUUGGUGGGGUUUUUUAUAUAUUUUUUAAAAAAAUUAUUUAGAAUAAAUAAUAUAAAAUUAUAUAAAUUAAUAGUAAAAAAACCAAUUAUGCAAAUAAAAUUUUAUUAAACAUCAAAAAUAAAAAAAUAAAGUUAAAUAAUAUUCAUUAUAAAUUUAAUGUGUUUUCAAAAAUAUAUUAAACAAGAACAAUGGUGGAGCUGGAGGAGGAGAAGGAGGCUGGUUGUUCCCAGGACCAUACAGCCAAAAAGGGGGCACACAUGUAUCAUCCUUCUGUGAUGUAAUGUUCAUGACCAUUUGGCGGAGUUGUUCAUAAUUCACCGAGAGUUGCUCGUAUUUUUCGGCGAGAUGAGUCGUGUGUUGUUCAUAAUUCACCGAUAGUUGUUCGUAUUUUUCGGUAAGAUGAGUUGUGUGUUGUUUCAAGGCCACGAUCUCCUUAGAUUAGAUGCUCGAUACUGAUUGGGAGCUCCCAACGGUUGAGACACUACGGCCCGCCCGCAAGUUAUCGGCCGUAGUGUUGGAGAGCCCGUACAUCCAAUUUUUAAAUUAAAUUAAUGAAAUAUUGAUUAGUUGUUCAUAAAUUAUGUUAUAAUUAAAUAAAAAAACUAAAACCGAAACAAACUUACAUUGAAAGGUCGUCCCUCCAAUGUGUCUCGUACUUGCGGGUGAAUUGAUUCCGUUGUGAAGGCACACCGUCUUUGCGCUGUGAAACCGAGCUGGAAGAGGUAGCAUCGCAAGUCAGUGCAGGUGCCUCUUCUUGAUCGGCACCUAAGAACAUGUCAUCUUCACUGCUAGAAGAACUAGCUGCGACCAUAUGUGAGCGACGAGCUGUUGAUUUCGUUCCACGCUUCUACACAAUUUUAUACGAAUAAUUACAUAAUUAAAUUCGAUUCUUAAAAACAAAUUCGACAACACCCCCCUAUACUGGAGACUACCCAAAGUUUUAAACCUGCAAAUAUUGACAAUAGCCACAACCAAUUGAUCCCAUUCAAAAAUCUUAUAUAUAACCUAACAUCUAUACAAAUAACAAUUAAAAUUAAUGGAAAUAAUUAAACACAUAUAAUGCAAUAAUAGAGUAAAAUUGAGAUAAAAUAAUUAAAUUUAUUCCUAUGUAUUCAAUUACUAAUUGCAAGUUAAAUUCUAUAAUAACAAUUAAAAUUCAACAAAAUAUUCAAUUAUUAUGACAAUACAAACAAUAAAAUAUAUUCAACAAAUUAAAAAAAAGAACUAUAGACUUUAGGAAUGAAAAAUGCUUACCUUAAUAAUGUGUUUAUUUCAGGAUUUUAUCUACCUUAUAAAAAUACACCAAAACAAAAAACACAACAAAAAAUAGAACUAGAGAAGAAAAUAUAAAAAAAUAAAAUCAUUAAGCAUAUUAAAUGGAAAUACAUUCAUUUUAAUUUGUUGAAGAUAGAACUAGAGAUUACAAGCAACAAACAACAGUUUUGAAGCAAAUGAGAGAAAAAAAAAUUAAAGCUUUGAAAGGAAGCAGAUGAAAAAUGAACUGAAGGGGCGGUCACUGGGAUAUAUACCGCAAUUUUACCGACGAAAUCCCCGACGGUCAAUUUAAAUAAUUUUAUUUUUAAUUAUUCCGUCGGUGAAUUUUUAAAAAUCCAUCUGCAAAUUAUGAAUUUCGCACUAAAUUUUUUUAAUUACCCUCCAUCAUUUUCGUAGUCCGUCGGCAAGUGCACGCGGUCAGAGAAGCAUUAAUUACCUGCCCUUUGGAAUUCGCAUCGUCCGUCGGUAAUUGUUCAUAUUGUAAUUGAAAGAUUUGAGAUUCGGUCAGCUGUGCGUUAUUGGGCAGUAAAUAUUAUCGAUGUUGCCUGCAAGGUUGUUCCAAAUUAUAUGAGUUUAUGAUAUUGCAAUAUAUAAAUAGUACAUUCUUAACAAAAUUUAAUUAGUAGUACAUAUACUUACUGAAUAAAAGGUCUCAGCUCAUCACAAUUAAAUAGAACAUAAUUAUGUGCUUGUCUGAACUCUAUUUCUAACAAAUAUCUUCCCCUUACGACCUUUUUAGGUGUGGGUCGUCCAGGAUUGGAGAAUAUUGACAAGUUCCUACUGGAAGGCACUUCACCACCAUCAUCAUGAUGUGGAACACGAUUGAUUCUCGUUCUCAAAUGAGGUUCGAAAUAGUACGAGAUAAAUGUUGAGAUCUCCUUAACAAUAUAGGCUUCACAUAUCGAAGCCUCAACAUGCACCUUGUUCUUAACCUUUUUCUUAAGAUUGAACAAGUACCUGUAUUGAAUUAAUCAUAUAAUUCCAAUUAAGAAAAAAAAAAGAAAAUACUUUUAUAUAUGAAUUACAUUGCAACUAUAAUAUCUAACCAUUCGAAUGGAUACAUCCAUCUAUACUGGACUGGUCCUCUAACUUUUGCCUCAAACGAUAAAUGUAUGGGGAGAUGCUCCAUUGAGUCAAAAAAUAAUGGAGGGAAUAUCAUCUCAAAUUUGCAUAGUGUCUCGACGAUAUUUGUUUCAAGCCUCUCAAUGUGAUCAACAUUCAACUUGCUACAACAUAUAUCUCUAAAGAAAUGAUUGAUCUCCGUGAGUGCAUCGCAUAUCCCUUUUGGCAACAAAUCAUGAUAAACUAAUGGAAUGAGUGUUUGCAUAAACACGUGGUAGUCAUGACUCUUCAUUCCAUACAAUAUGCAUUCCUCCAUAUUAACCAACCUUGAUAUGUUCGAGGCAUGUCCAUCGGGAAAACACAAACUCUUAAGCCAUUUGUAGACUAGUAGUUGUGCAUUUUUCUCUAAUACGAAGCUUGCUCUUGGUUUUGCGACCCGUGACCUAUCCCAAACCAACUCCAUAUUUUUAAGGUUACAGAACAAAGUUAUAUACAAUCUAGCCUUGAUGUUGUCCUUUGUUUUCUCCUUCACAUCCAUGAUGGUGUUGAAAAUGUUCUCAAACACGUUCUUUUCUAUGUGUAUGACAUCAAGGUUGUCAUAACCCAUUUUUGGGUUCUUCCCAAUUACAUUUCUUUUGCUUCAAAAAAUAAAAUGAAACAAUGCCAUUUUGAAUGGCACUGUUCUUCUUCUUCCCUGCACAUACAGAGGCAGGGAAGAAGAAGAUUUUAAAUCUCCUUUUGCCGCUCAACUUCUCCUUCUUUACCUCCCCACUUGCCUAACUACUGACACAACCCAUACCCUCAUUAAUGGAGAAACAGGAGACCCAUGCCCCCCACCAUGAUGAAAAGCGAAAGAACCAUGCCCCAACCACCAUGCCUUGUGCUUGGACAAGGUACAGUGAACCUCUCCCCGACUGCCUAUAAAUACAAGGGAACGAGCGACACAGGAGAGGGGAGGAGAGAAAAAGGAAACCAGGGGGAAUUUUUUUGAGAAAACAGGGAGCAAACGAUAGAUACCAGGGGGAAAUAUUUUGAAAAGAACGAAAAAAAAUAGAGGGACGGGGGAGAAAAUUAUAGAGGAAGAAGGAAGGAAAAAGGAGAACCACCGUUGUUCUUCCUCUCCACUGCCACUGAGAAGAUUGCAUCGAAAACAGACUUAGCAAACAAAAAGAUAGAGAAGGGAGUAUCGAUCAACAGCAAAAAAAAAAACAGAGGCUCAUGCCUUUGCAUAGAGAGGAGAAGAGCCAUCGUCGCCCACCACAGCAACUCCACCGGUCAGCAACCACCGGCAGCACUGCCUUGAAGCCACCGCAGGUCCACCUCCCUCUCCUCCUCCUUCUCCUCCUCCUCUCUUCUUCCUUCUUCUUCUUAUACUCCCCGCAAACACAGAGGAAGAACUCCCUUCUCCACCGCAACAGCUACUCCACUACAAGCACACCACCUGAUAGCCACCGUUAGCCACCUCCACCACUAGAAAUUUUUGUUGUAGAGCAAUAAUCAAAAUUCUUGUAUCAUCAUGCAAGGGUACGACCAUGUGUCAACCCUAGAAGGGCGAACUCAUCAUAUAGAAACAUACUCAUACAUUUAUCCAAGGUUGUUAAAAUCGUGAUUUUAACACGGCACGGAAAGCCGCACGCAAACUCGGAUCGUAAAAACGGAUCGUAAAAUCAUAAAAAAAUCGUAAGGAAUUUUAAAAUACAUUAAAAAAAAUUCAUGCUUCAAAUAAAAAUUCAUACAUUAAAUUUAAAUUAUAUUGAUUUUAUAUUUAAAUUAUUUUUUUAUUGAUUUGAUUCUAAGAUAUUUUGAUUUUUUAACUGUGAUUUAAUUUAGAAUUAUUAUUUAACGAGAACCAUUAGAAACAUUAGAAUUAUUUCCAAGAGAUCAUGCAUGAUCUCAAGCGUGAGAGUUUUAGACUCGAGAUCAUUUGAAAAUAAGAGAAGCAUUCAUUAAUUCCAUUUAUUUAUAUAAAAGUCUUGGCUAUUCAAUCUCAAUAGCAACCAUACACUUAUUAACCAACCAUGCGAAUAUUUACAUCUGACGUGGCAGUUUCAUUAGCUUGCUGGAGAAAAAGCUUAACCCUUGGGUAUAGUGGGCGGUCUCAAACAAUAUUAUUCGUGUUUCAAGAAACAGUUGAACGCUCCAUCGAUGCAGGAAAUUAAUAUAUAUAUAUUUCUCGGGGUUGGGUUGCUAGAUAGAAUCUUUUUUUUUUUUGUGUGGCGGAAGACUAAUUCGGUGAGUCACAGUUACUAAAUAAAUUGCCUUUGAUCUGUUCAAGCCAAUAGGCGGGUGACACGUGGCAGCUACACUGAAUUUUGUUCUCCUGCGGGCAAACUCGUUCAAUCGGUGGUAAAAUCGCGAUUUUAUGCGAUUUCACCCGAUUUUAACGAUUUUAACUGUUUUUGACCUGAUUUUACUCAUUUCCAAUUUUUAUGAACAAUUUAGCACGUAAAGUCUAUAUUAAAUCGUAAAAACAUACGAUUUUACGACUUGAAUCGCGAUUUUAACAACCAUGCAUUUAUCAUACAUGUUACCAGGUUGAAACAUAGGUCCCCCACCCAAGAUUUGCUACACCUGAAAGAUGGAAAAUGAAGAAAGAGCUCAAUUGGAGGCCUAUUAUCAAAAUGAACUUGAGAGCAUCAAAGGUGAAGUAGUUAGACUUACACAUCUGCUUGAACAAGUGCUGAGCUCCAAAAAUGGAAAAAGGGAUUUUUGCACAACCUCCAGUGAAAACACCAUCAAUCCACGAUGAUUAGUACUUAAAAGUACAUUUUUACCAAGGUUUUAUAUCAUCAUUUUGCACUUGAAGUAUCAAUAACUCCUUAACUAAAGCAUGUUUUAUAAUAACAAGUCUAAUACUAUAAGAUACCUUUAAUUUAUGUUAAAUGUUCAUCUUAAAUGCAGGCCUAUCACAUAAAUCAAAGGAUUGAUUGAUGAGUUUAACUACUGAAAUUGAGAAGACAAAGAAAGGGUUAAGCUUAGAAAAGAGAUGCUGGUUUUGUCCAAACUGGAACAUUGUUCAGUCAUUAGGACAUAUGUGAAGCUGUAGAUCUUGGAUUUCAAUUUGGUUUAUAUGGCUAGAAAGUUAAGACAUAGGCCUAAAACAUUCAUGAAGAGUGUAAGACCCAAUUAUAUUGUUUGGAAGUCCAAAUCUUAGCAACAACGGAGAAGUCGAAAUCUGUCUUACAGCCCAGACACUGUUCAGUGUUCAGCUCAUAUCUCGAGUUCUAGAAGUCCAAAUGCUCUGAUUCUUUUUUUGUUGGAAAGCUGAGAUAAUUUCCUAGAACUUUCAUGAUUUAAGUCUGUUCAAAUUCUAACGUUAUCAAUGAUGUUUUGUUCAGAUAAGAAGAUAAGGAUUGUCACCAAGUCAAGAUGUGGUCACCCACUCAACAAUUAAUCAUCAAAUCAAUAGUUUCAAAUUUUGGCCUAUAAAAGGAGGCAUUUGUAAUGCAUUUAGGCAUCUUGGUUUUCAGAUCAAUAUCAUGUUCUUGCUCUCUCUUUAUAUUUUUGUAAUGCUUAAGUUUUGUUUAUAUUAAUCUUUUAUUUAUGCUUUAAAUAUCCUUUCCUUUACUUAGUUAACUUAUAUCUUAUUUAUGUUCUUAUCUUGUUUAUUUAUGUUUCUCUUCUUCAUUAUGUUUAGCUAAGUUUAUUAUGUCAAGGUGAAAAGGUUACACUAAUGGUGUAAGAAUAAGUAUAGUAUAAACUCAACAUGGACUUUAAUAUUUGAUACUAACAUGUUUUGUAUUUGUUAUCUUAUUCACUCUUAAUACUUUGCUUGUUAAAUGCUUAAUCUAGAUUUAUGUUGUAUAACCCUUGGUACAACAAAUACUUGGCACUUUCAUAGCCCAACCGUAUCGUAUAACCGACACCUGUGCUAUGAAAGGAACUUGAUUUGUUGUUAACAUAAGUUAUAAUCAUGAAUACCUGACAACAUUUACAAGUAUUAGCAUUAUUCGAAUAAGAUAACUAAUGUAAUCAUGUUAACAAUUUAUAAUCUGAUUGGAACCUCCUUUGUGUGUGGUUUCCAGUUGAGUAAUAAGAGUUUAUAGUAUACUUGUUUGAAAUACCAUUAGUGGAUCCUCUAACCUUGAUAAUUGUUUUUAUCAUUGUUUAAUCAUUAUAUCAAUAUCACAUCUCAAAGCUCUCUUCAACUUAUUAUUAUUAUUACUAUUAUUAUUAUUAUUAUUAUUUAUAAUUUAUAUAGUUAACCUCCCUAUGGUUCGACCCCGAUCUUGCCGGGUUAUUUAUUACUUCGACACUCCUGCACUUGGGAGAAGACAUCAAUCGUUUAGUCGUGUCACAUAUUGUCUGUGAUUGAGCUUCUUUGAAGCUCUUCGGUUCAUAGACAUUUGAUAUAUAGGUAAGGAAUGCACUAUGUGUUGGAGACAGUCGAUGAUAAGACACAAAUCUAGAAAUAGGAUACCUCACACUAUAGGUGACAUAGUCUUGCAUUCGAGAUGGUGGUUGAUAUGUUCGAAGAGAAACUCUCCUAGUGUCUUGCAGAGCAUCAAGAGAACCAGGUAGUUCUGAAUCACUGAUACGGUUAAGUUGGGAAUUGCAAGAAUCAGUAGCAGACUUGAGUUGAAUCUGUUGGUUAGUCUGUGGGUGAUGUUGUCGCAGGACAUUAUUGCUGGAAUCAGAGGCAGACUGAGGUUGAAUAUGUCGGUCUAUCUGUGGUUGAUGUUGUCGCAGAGCAUCAUUGCUAGAAAUGAAUGUAGUGUUGGAGAGCUCGUACACCCAAUUUUUAUCGGGUCCACCAGACGAUACUACCUUCAUCCACAAAUCCGGAUCAAAAUCCGGAUGGGUCGAAGAAUCGUCCCCAUAUCUCUCUCUCAACCGGAUAUUAUAAGUCUCUUGAAAAUGAAAAAAGAAAUCAUCAUAUUCAAUUCAAGAAAAAUAAUAACUUACCAAAUAAAAUGGUUGAACGAACAUACCACAAAGUGUUGAGCACGAUUGUCAACGAACUAUUGCACCCCAUUUUGGCAAUCUUCACUUCGCACGUGCGUCUCUAAAAACAGUUUCAUUGGGCUCUGCUCACAUCCAAGAGACGUAGCCUGUAAGAAAAAAAAUUAAUUAAGUAACAACAAAUUAAUUAACGAUAUAUUUCAUUUAAAUUAAUCUUACCAUCCGUUUUGCAUGUGUAGCAAACGGAAUGGAGCCGCCGGUGUGCAUGGUCACCGAAACAUGAAUUUGUCAGUUCUGGUUGUCGGCACCGGACUGUGAGCAUCGUGUGAACCGCUCAGAUAUCACGUGCUCAAUAUAUCUCCCGGGAUGUAUAGCGGUUUGAAAUCCCUCCAAACCGCCACGUCGUUCCAGCCUUGGAACCGUUAUCUCUCACGUUUUUUUUGUGUUUUUUGUGUUUCAUACCAAAGAUCACACAACAUACUUCCAUAGUGACAAAUUAGAUUUUAAAACAAAUUUUUUUUAAAAAAAAAUAUCGUAUUGUUUUCGAUGUUACCUAGUUGCCACGUGAUUUUCUCACACCCUCCUUGCAACAUUGUCAUGCGCGUUGUCCCACUCAUAUUUAUGUUGUGUAUAAAUAAUUUAUUUAAAAUAAAAAUAAUAAUUUAUUUACAAUUAUAAUAAUAAAUUAUUAAAAAUAAGCUGGAAAUUAGAAAUUAACACCAAUCUGAAAUCUUCAAAACCAUGCAUCAAUAUAAGGUCUCCAUUCAGGAUGUCUGGAAAACUGACUCCAUUGAAAUAAUAGAAUCUCCAUCGACAAUUUAAACGCCGAUGAUAUUACUCGGGCGACCUCAAUGUUUUUGAACCUGAAAAUAAAUUAAAUUAAUGAAAUAUUGAUUAGUUGUUCAUAAAUUAUGUUAUAAUUAAAAAAAAACAAAAUCGAACCGAAACAAACUUACAUUGAAAGGUCGUCCUUCCAAUGUGCUCAUACUUGCGAGUGAAUUAAUUCUGCUGUGAAGGCACGCCGUCUCUGCGCUGUGAAACCGCACUGGAAGAGGCAUCAUCGUGAGUCAGCGCAAGUGACUUUUUUGAUCGGCACCUAAUGACAUGUCAUCCUCGCUGCUAGAAGAACUAGCUGCGACUAUAUGUGAGCGACAAGCUGUUGAUUUCGUUAUACGCAUCUACAUAAUUUUAUAUGAAUAAUUACAUAAUUAAAUUUGAUUAUUAAAAAAAAAAUUGACAGCACCUCCCCUAUAUUGGAGACUACCCCAAGUUUUCAAACCUGCAAAUAUUGAAAAUACCCAUAACCAAUUGACCCCAUUCAAAAAUCUUAUAUAUAACCUAACAUUUAUACAAAUAACAAUUAAAAUCAAUGGAAAUAAUUAAACACAUAUCAUGCAAUAAUAGAGUAAAAUUAAGAUAAAAUAAUUAAAUUUAUUUCUAUAUAUUCAAUUACUAAUUACAAGGUAAAUUCAACAAUAACAAUUAAAAUUCAACAAAGUAUUCAAUUAUUAUGGCAAUAAUAACAAUAGAAUAUAUUGAACAAAUUAAAAAAAAAAAAAACUAUAGACUUUAGAAAUGAAAAAUGCUUACCUUAAUAAUGUGUUUAUUUCAAAACUUUAUCUACAUUAUAAAAAUACACCAAAACAAAAAACACAACAAAAAUAACAAUAACUAAAACAAAGAAAAAAUAAAAUAAAAUAAAAUUAUUAAGCAUAUUAAAUGGAAAUACAUACUUUUUAAUUUGCUAAAGAUUGAACUAGAGAUUACAAGGAAAAAAAACAAAAGUUUUGAAGGAAAUGAGAGGAAAAAAACAAAAACGAGAGAACUCUCAAACGAAGCAGGGGAAAAAUGAACUGAAGGGGCAGUCGCUGGGAUUUAUAGCACAGUCUCGGUGAAAUGCCGACGGAUACAAUAUCCAUCUGUAUAGACGUCGGUGAUUGUGGUAUUUGCAGUGAAUAUUUUACAACUCUCGGUGAAAUACCGAUAAAUACAGUAUCCAUCAGGAUAUACGUCGGUGAUUAUGGCAUUUACAGUAAAUAUUUUGCAACUCUCGGUAAAAUACCGACAGACGGUUUCCAUCUAUAAAGACAUCGGUGAUCAUGUACUAUGCAUGAAAAAUUAUGUUUGUAUUGCCUAUUUACCCUCCUGCAAACACUUAAAUUACAAACUGCCCGUACAAAACAAUAACAACAGUUAAAAAUUAUAAAAUAAAUAUUUCAUGUUACAAAAUAUCAUCCAUAAUAUUAAAUUAUAAAAAAAAGCUUUACACUUUUCUUGAUUCUGAUAUUUAGUUAGAAUUUUCUUCUUCUUCGUCAUCAAUUGAAUCGUUAUCAGCUCCAUCUUUAAUCUUCAAUAUGGAUAUCAUCAUCAUCAUCUUCAUCGACAUUUGCUUGUCCGCUAGAGCUCAGAACAACAUUCAACUCCUCUACGUCAACAUCAACAAGAUUAUCAUCGAAAACAUGAAAAUUUGAAUUUUCUUCUACGUCAAUCGAAGGAGCAACUCGAUAUGGUUCAACCAACUUACUAACUUGAAAGACUUCAUCUCGCACACUUGUGUCUUCAUUCUUAUCCUGAACAACCUCGACACAGCCCCUGGGUUUCGUUUUUAAAAUGAAUAACCAAUCAACUCUUGAUCAGUCCUUUCUAAAGGAAGGGGUGUAUGUGUAAUAAACUUGUUGACAUUGCUUUGGGAAAACAAAGACAUCGUUUACGUUGCGGAGCCUAGCUUUUGAGUUGAUUUCAACAAGACCAUAGUGAGGAUCUACUCUAAUUCCUCUGCCAGUGGUGUCAUACCAAUAGCAUUUAAAUAAAAAUACUCUAUUCCACUCGCUAUGAUAUUGCAGUUCGACGACCUCUUCUAAUUUACCAUAGUAGUCAACUUCAAACUCACUACAAGUCGAACCCUUAACAUAAACACCGUUGUUGUAUGUCUUUCUUCCAUGCCCGUAUUCUUCAAUAUGAAACACAUAUCCAUUGACAAAAUACGCGUUGUAACACUUAACUUUUCUUUCAGGACCCAGGCUUAGUGAAGACAAUGAAAUAGCAGCACUCCUUCCUAUUUGAUAAACCUUGUAUAUCAUGUACAAUAAUGAACAGUAAACGAGAAUUAUGUAAUGACAUACAAUAACUUUGCAAGAGAUAAUGAGUUUGUGAUAGUACUUACAUGUGUUCUGAACCACGUGGCAAAUUAUUCAUCUUGUAAUUGAAAGAUUUGAGAUUCGGUCAGCUGUGAGUUAUUUGACAGUAAAUAUUGUUGAUGUUGCCUAUAAGGUUGUUCCAAAUUAUAUGAGUUUAUGAUAUUACAAUAUAUAAAUAGUACAUUCUUAACGAAGUUUAAGUAGUAUAUAUACUUACUGAAUAAAAGGUCUCAGUUCAUCAUAAUUAAAUAUAACAUAAUUGUGUGCUUGUCUGAACUCUAUUUCAGACAAAUAUCUUCCCCUUACAACAUUUUUAGGUGUGGUUCGUCCAAGAUUGGAGAAUAUUGACAAGUUUCCACUAGAACGCACUUCACCACAAUCAUCAUGUCGUGGAACGCGAUUGAUUCUCGUUCUUAAAUGAGGUUCGAAAUAGUACAAGAUAAAUGUUGAGAUCUCCUCAAUAAUAUAGGCCUCAUAUAUCAAAGCUUCAACAUGCGCCUUGUUCUUAACCUUUUUCUUAAGAUUGAACAAGUACAUGCAUGGAAUUAACCAAAUAUUUUCAAUUAAGAAAAACAAAGAAAAUACUUUUAUAUAUGAAUUACAUUGCAACUGUAAUAUCUAACCGUUCGAAUGGAUACAUCCAUCUAUACUGGAUCGGUCCUCCAACUUUUACCUCGAACGGUAAAUGUAUGGGGAGAUGCUCCAUUGAGUUAAAAAAUGAUGGAGGGAAUAUCAUCUUAAGUUUGCAUAUUGUCUCGAUGAUAUUUGUUUCAAGCCUCUCAAUAUGAUCAACAUUCAACUUGCUAGAGCAUAUAUCUCUAAAGAAAUGACUAAUCUGCAUGAGUGCAUCCCAUAUCCCUUUUAGCAACAAAUCACGAUAAGCUAAUGGAAUGAGUGUUUGCAUAAACACGUGACAGUCAUAACUCUUCAUUCCAUACAAUCUGCAUUCCUCUAUAUUAACCAACCUUGAUAUGUUCGAGGCAUGUCCAUCAGGAAAACGCAGACUCUUAAACCAUUUAUAGACCAGUAGUUAUGCAUUUUUCUCUAACACAAAGCUUGCUCUUGGUUUUGCGACUCAUGACCCAUCAAAAACCAACUCCAUGUUUUUACGAUUACAGAACAAAGCUAUAUCCAAUCUAGCCUUGAUGUUAUUCUUUGUCUUCCCCUUCACAUCCAUGAUGGUGUUGAAAAUAUUCUCAAACAUGUUUUUUUCUAUAUGCAUGACAUCAAGUUUAUGGCAGAGGAGAUUGAAAACCAAACACAAUGUCACCGUACUUUGAUACAACAUCAUGCAAUUCUUCACAAAAAAAACGCAGGGGUGCAACAUCAUUUUCAACUCUGCCAACAAAGAAAUCCUCUAUGUUCUUUCUGAACCUAUGAUUCGUUGGCAAGAAACGACGGUUACAGUAAAAAAAAAAGAAGCUUUACCUCCAUUUGUUAUCAUGAAUGCCUUGUUGUUUUCCAUGCAGUAUGGACAUGUUAUUUUUCCAUGCAUGCUCCAACCACAAACCAUUUCAUAAGCUGGAAAAUCAUUGAUAGUCCACAUCAAAGCUGACCUCACAACAAAAUUUUAUAAACUACGUCAACUCAUCAAUCAACGGUCGAAGACAAACAUCUAUAUUCCGGCCUGGACUGCUCAGACUGGGUAUGACAGUAGAUAAAAACAUGAACUCCGGUCUCAUACACAUUCCUAGUAGUAAGUUAUAAACCGUGAGUAUGACCGGCCAACAAGGAUAAGGAGUAGCAAAUGACCCAAAUAGGUUGAAUCCAUUUGUACACAACCCAAGACGCACAUUCCUUGAUUCAGCUGAAAAGUGAGGAUGCAUACUGUUAAAAUGUUUCCAUACUUCGCCGUUAGAAGGAUGCAUCAUCACUCCAUCAACCGCAUCAUGUGAUUGGUGCCAUGUCAUGUGUUCAACAGUCCUUGGUGACAUGAAUAAUCUCUGCAGUCUAGGUGUGAUUGUAAAGUGUCUAAGUGUUUUAUAUGCCUGAGAGUCUUUCCCCUGCCAGUUCUGGGUUCGUAACGGGAAUGUCCACAUGUCAUGCACUCGGUCAGCUCAGCAUUUUCAAGGUAGUAUAACAUGCAGAUGUUAGGGCACAUGUCAAUUUUCUGGUAUCCUAAACCAAGGGGUUUCAUCAUAGACUUUGGAGCAUAUAAGUUCUCUUUCAGCCUGUUCCCUUUAGGGAAAAUGCUUCUCGCUCAUUCAAUAAUUUUGUCAUAACCGGCCUCACUCAACUCGUGAUCUGACUUGAUGGUGAAUACCUGUGCUACAGCCGAUAAUUUACUGUGGUUCGUGCAGCCAUCCCAUAAUGAUUCGUCAGAAUUUUUUAACAGAUCAAAAAACCUUACUGCAUCUGCAUUAGGUUCUUCUUCUACGAUUAGACAUUUACUGACAUUACCUUAAUUCAUUCUCAUUGCAAUUGUUGCUACCCAAUUUUAGACUUAUGUUUUUGAUAAAUUUUCAGAAAAAACCAAAAAUAGCAAAAAAACAACAAAAACCCAAAAAAAUGCAUUUUUGGAUAUAUUGCAUCAUUUUUAGCAUUUUCAACGUCAUCUUAGAAGAAUUUAAAUUUUCAAAGGUAUUUUGAACGUGUUCAACUUUUAACGCGUUAAUUUUACAAUCACUGAUUUUUCUUGUUGAGUUGACAUUGAUAUUGCUCGUUUUAAAAAAUACAAAAAAAUAAGAAAAAAUCAAAAUUGACAAAAAAUAAAGAAGUUGAGGGACCAAUGUGUUUUGGGGACCAAGCCACUUUGCUUAGAAAUAGAGGUUGCAACACACAUAAAAAGAGGGGGAGAAAAUUUACAAGGGUCAAUUUUGAGACAUCAAAGGAGAAACCUAAACCACAAAAAAACCCUAAAAAUAACCUAGCUUUUCUUCUCCCAGCAGUUGUGGUCCCCCUCUCUUUUGGCAAAAAAAUAGAGAGCCAGAAACCGUGGCCGCCUCCCCAGCUUUUGGAUUUCAGUCUCCUAGCUUUUCCAGCCGCCACUCAUACACCUCCUCUAACCUCUGUUUCCUUUGGUUUUUUUCCCUGAGCCGACCGGAAAGCACACCAGCCCACAUUUUCUUGUCCCAGCCGGCUACAAGACAGUCCCUCACCUGGCCAACAUCAACAGACAAUGACCCGACCUUCUCUUUCCCGGAUCUGUUCUGCUCUCUUCUCCCUGCAGAUUGGCCUCCACAGAAGCCAGCCGCCGCUCACCCUCCUUCUUUCCCUCACCGUCGCUCUCCCUCGCGGCCAAGACAACACCACCGUCCACCACCCAGCCUCUCUUCCCUGAUCUGUCUUCCUCUCUUCUUAUUGUCCCAGCCAAACCCCAACCGGUUCUCCAAGACCAGAAACAACCACUCCCCGCCGACCGAACCAGGUCUCCAUCUCCACCAGCCACCACCGCAGCCCUCUUUACAACUGCCAGAUCGGCCACCGGAAGAAGGAAGAACAACAAACCAUAACUGAAAACAGACCCAAAAACAGAUCCGAAAAGGAGAAAAGAAAAACUAAAAUCAACUGUUGUUUAUGCAUUUUUCUCUUGUUGCAGUGACAGUGAUCCUCACCUCCGGUGCAGAAAGGAAGAGGGGGAGAAGACGUUUUAGAUCUCUCUAUUCGCUUGGACUUUCUUGCGGCGGCGCGUGAACCCAUGUGCCGCCAGUGGCGGUGGCACGUGGAGAAGACGCGCCGCCACUAUUCAAAUGUCCAGAAACCUUCCAGCCACUGUUCCUACAGUUACAGAAGGCCUUCCUUGCAAUUCUUGUAGAUUUCUAGGGUUUAUUUUUAAAUUUUUGAAUUGUAUUUGAUUUUUUUGAAUUUUUGUUAUUUUUCAAUUUUUGUAAUUGGAACAUGUUUUGUUAAACCACCCAUAAGAACCAUAUUUUGACUCUUAUCCGGAGAAUAGCAAACAAUAACUUCCAUUGAAUGAAUAAUGGAUCCAGAUCCUAAAAAACAACAAUGUUUUUGAAUAAGCUAAAAUAAAGCGGCUCGAUAGGAGCCCGUACUUAAAGCUAACAUCGUAUAACCCAAUUGAGACAUUGUAUAAUAAGCUAAACCUCUCUUAAUAUCUUUUUGAGCAAAAGCUAAAGUAGCUCCUAAUAGUACUGUUAUUAUACCUAUCAAAGCUAUUAGCUUCAUUAUGUAAGGUAUAACUAUGAAAAGAGGAAGAAGUCGAGCUACAAGAAAAAUUCUUGUUGUUACCAUGGUAGCAGCAUGUAUUAGAGCCGAAAUAGGGGUAGGUUCUUCCAUGGCAUUCGGUAACCACACAUGAAGGGGAAAUUGCGCCGAUUUAGCAAUUGCAUCGGAAAAUAAUAGGAAAGCGCACAAGGUAACAAAUAAAAAAUAAACCUCAUUAUCAUUAUUAUAAAUUAAGUUAUUGAAAAUUUCAAACAAAUCCUGAAAUUCGAAACUGUCUGUUAUUCAAUAAAGACCUAAAAUUCCUAAUAAUAAACCAAAAUUGCCUACACUAUUAACAUGUAAAAAAUGAUGUGUGUGUGUUUGAACUUUUUUUUAUGUAUGUUAUUGAAUUAUAAAAUAAAAAAGACAAAAAUUUAAUGUUUUAAUUUGCAUAUGGUCAAGUAUCUGAAGUACAAAUAAAAUCAUGUUGUAUUUCCUGUAAAAAUGUAAGAACACGUUUCUACAUAUAUUUUGGGAUUUAAUAAUUGAUUUAUUAACGCCUUAAGAAUUUGACUAAUAUUUUAAUUUUUUAAAAUCACAUCAAAACACGAAGUAGCUUACCUCAGGUAGGGUGCGCUAGGGAUGCUAAUACCUUCCCUAGCCACAACCAGUUCCUUACCCUCGAAUCUCUGACAAUGACCAGUACACUCGAGUUUCCUAGUAACCUUCAAUUAAAUACUAGGUGGAGACUCCUACAGAACCAAUCAAGCAAACAAACAAAAAUUGCCAUCGACGCCGCGUGGGGUACGUGCGACAACAUCCAUAACCAUAUUCCUGUAAGCAUCAUUGAUAGUCAGUGCACGUUGUUAGCACUAGAAGUUGACCCAACCACCCUUUCUCCCAUGCUAUCAUUACGAACAAAUAGUUCUCUGUGUGCAUACCAACAUAGGUAAUCCUUCAUGAACCCUUUGUGUAAAAGAUGCAUCGUUACAACAUCUGGAUGCAGAUACUUUUUAUUUUGACACUUCCUGCAUAGACACCUAAUACCGCCUUCAGUAAAAUUUCUGGGAAUAGAUGUUGCAAAAUUAAUAAAACCCUUAACCCCAUUACAAUAAUUCAUCCUCCGCAAUCCUUAGGGUGAAUCUCGAUACAUCCAUGAACGAUCACCCAUGACUUCUAUCGAACCUCUAUAAAAUUAUAGUGACAACAUGUAUUAAUUAACUAUAUUAGGUAAAUAAAUUUGCAAAAAUAUUGGUUUACCUCCAGAUUAUCCAACAAACUAAUUAAAACUUCUCAUAAAUAUUCAUUAUCAAUUAUCAACGUCCAUACAAAUUUAUACAUAUAAAUUUACGGAAAUUAUAACUCUGCAAUAGCAUUGAUAAAAAUCAAAACGGACCCGUUAAACAAGCUAUUAAUUAUUUCACCACAACACAUGUAAUUCGGUAAUUCAACAAAGUUUCAACAAUUUACUAACAAAUACAAUUUUAUAAAAUCUAAAACAAAUCAUAAUAAGUACAAAAUUAUACAUUCAUACUACAAAGUUUGUUUGAGAAAUAACAAUAAAACUUGUACAUACAUUAACAAAAUACAUAUACUAAAAAAACAAUAAAAUUGACAUUUAAAUGUUAAAUUUUUUUUAAAAAAAUUUACUUACAAAAAAUGAUAAAAUCCACACAAAAAAACACGGAUGUUGUGACCACGAAACUUAAAGAAAUAUGACUUGUGUUGAGAAGAGGGGGAUAUUUUUAGGGGGGUUGUUUGCAAUUUGGGAGGGAAGAGUUGGGAUGGGAAAGAAGAAGGCAAAAUAGAGAAGGAGAGGGUCGGUAGAGUGGUGAUAUAUUAACUUUUGCAGAUGAAAUCACUGACGGACUUAUUCUGUCGGUGAUUGCGUCGGUAAUUCUGACGGUGAAUUAGUCACGUCACUAUACGGAGAUCCCGGUUUGAAUCCUUCGGUGAGUCCAUCGGUAAAAUCACCCGCAAAAACUUUCACAUCAUCGAACCGUUUUUUUUUUUCAAAUUCUAUAUAUUCCGUCUGUAAUUCUAUCGGUAUAUACCAACUGAAUUACAAAUGGAAUAUUGGCUAUCAG
Molecule: long non-coding RNA, 23824 nt
Filed under: Populus trichocarpa (black cottonwood)
Lineage: Eukaryota; Viridiplantae; Streptophyta; Magnoliopsida; Malpighiales; Salicaceae
Description: long non-coding RNA (PTRI_LNC000368)
Source: RNAcentral